This 1707-nucleotide small RNA is filed under the name Pan troglodytes (chimpanzee). Its description in RNAcentral is "retained intron". The record is from RNAcentral. Lineage: Eukaryota; Metazoa; Chordata; Mammalia; Primates; Hominidae.
GGAAGAGUAGUGUCGGGCCAUGGCCAGGGCCCGCAGGCUGGAGCUGGCCGAGGCCCUGGCGCUGGGGCCAGGCUGGAGGCAUGCCUGCUAUGCGCUCCUGCACGCGCCGGACCCUGGAAUUCUCUUUGGCCGCCUCCCUCUGCGCUACGCCAUACUGGUGAGGAGGGCGCGCGCCCGGCCACUCUCCGCUCCGGCCUUGCACCUUCCUUGCGGCGCUACUCUCGGGUGUCCCUGCCAAUCCCAGCUUCCUCCUCUCUCAGAUGCAGAUGCGCUUUGAUGGGCGCCUGGGCUUCCCUGGCGGAUUCGUGGACUCGCAAGACAGCAGCCUGGAGGACGGGCUGAACCGUGGUCUGCUGGAACUGCUGGGCGAGGCGGCGGCCGCCUUCCGCGUGGAGCGCCCUGACUACCGCAGCUCCCACGCCGGAUCAGGGCCACGCGUUGUGGCCCACUUCUAUGCCGAAUCUCUGACGCUCGAGCAGCUGUUGGCUGUGGAGGCCAGCGCAACAGGCGCCAAGGACCACGGGCUGGAGGUGCUGGGCCUGGUGCGAGUGCCCAUGUAUACCCUGCGUGAUGGUGUGGGAGGCCUGCCCAUCUUUCUGGAGAAUUGCUUUAUUGGUGCUGCCCGGGAGCAGUUACUGGAUACCCUCCAGGACUUGGGAGUGGUGGAAGCUGGUGCUUUCUCAGGACUUCAGAUCCCAGUUCGUCUGAGGCAACCCUCUGUGGACUCAGGGAAGCUGAGCUGAGGACUUUGGUACAAGGAAGGGAAUGUUUUCUCUUCCGGACCUAAAGACGAUACCAAAUUAAAAGAAGACAUGUACAUCAUAUGUUUUGAGCAGAGGACCCUCCAAUUCAUGGGAUCAGGGGCAAAAAUCCACAGCUCAUCCCAGGGGCCCUGGCAGGUUCUCAGAGCCUACCUCUUCCUUGUACAUUUGCAUACAGCCUGGUAACCCCCAGGCAUGCAUAUGUACAAUGUGACCACACACAGCCUGACAUCUUUCACCUAUCAAGUCCAAUUUAACCAGGAAUUGGCAUGUUACCAUACCCUGCCUCUUGCUUUGCAGAGAGCUUCUACAGCAAGGCUGAGUCCUUCCCACAGUCCUCCAUGGCUGCUCUUUAGGGUUACCCCCAGCCCAUGUUUUUUGGGAAGGAUAGAGAAGCAGAGGACCCUCUUUGCUUUCCUGAAAGUAGCCAUGCCCUUGCUGGAGGGUUCACCACAGCAAUUGGUGGGAAAGGGUCUUCACCAAUCUCCCAACACUUUUCUUCUCCUGAAACUGAGAAGGGGUAAGGAAGUAGCUAGGUCCCCUUGGACGGAGCAUGGACAUGAGACCUGUGAGUACUGGUGUCUCUCCUUCAGAGCUUUCAUCUUUGGUUCGCUGUAGACUCUGGGACUAUCAGAAGAGAACUGACCCAUACCUGUCUAGCACUGCCCUUCCAAAAAAAGAGCCUCCCAUUAAAGAGGGGUUAGAGCUGGGCCUUGAGGCUCUUCACUUCUUUCAACAGAUAUUUAAUAUGUACCUACUAAAUGCCAGGUACUAUAAAAGGUAUAGAGAGCCAUCCUUGCUCUCCAAGACUCCAGGGAAGGGAUGGGCAAACAUUUUCUUAAAAGCCAGAUAGCAAAUACUUUAAGCUUUGUAAACUACAUAGUUUUUUAAAAAAUAUUUUCUAACAUUGACUAAUAAAAAUUGUCUAUGUUUACUGUGUACAAAA